UUUAGAACUUCUUUUUUCCUCUUUUAACCGUUGGUAUUUAAAAAAAAAAAAGUCAAGGAUGUUUAUAUGUUGAGGAUGAAAUGGUUUUGGAGUUUCACUGAUAUUCAUAAAUACAGUUCUUGUAACAAUUUCUCGUUUAUCUGGUAAACCUUGGUAACUAUUUAAGCACAUGUUGCAUGGUUUUUUUAUCUUGUUUAAGGCGUAGCGUUUCUUGGUAGUGAUAGCUAUAUUCAUGAAAAAUUCAACCAACAGUACAAAGCUACAAUUGGAGCUGAAUUUGUCACCAAAGAAUUACAGAUUGAUGACAAAUUGUAACUUUGCAAGUAAGUGAUGAAAAAUCAAGGGUAAUUCUUACACAUUUUUUUUAAACUAAAAUCCCCACAUUUUACCAAGUGUCUUCUUGUCUGAUAGAUAUGGGAUACAGCGGGGCAAGAAAGGUUCCAGAGUCUUGGUUCUGCAAUUUAUCGAGGGGCAGAUUGUUGUGUUGUUGUGUUUGAUGUGAACAUACUCAGAUUGUUUGAAACACUAAACAAUUGUCGUGAAGAAUUUCUGAAACGGGUCUCAUAAUUCUGUACUGUUCAUCUCAUUUCUUCACAAGUAAUAAAACAGAUCAUAACAUGUUUGCUGUAAUGUCCCAGUUGUAAACUGUAAAGACUCUUUUCUGUCAUCAUUGCUUUCAAACUACUUCUUAACUAAAAUUUUAGGGCAAACCCAUUGUAGCAAACCAUGUAUCUGAUUGAUGUUUUAAUUUUAGAUAUUUAUAUAUGUCAUUAAUCAACUCAUUGUGUUAUCUUGAAAAAACCAUGUCAUACUUUGAAGAAACGACACUUGGAUUUAGAACUGAUUUAAUUCUCUUUGUAUCUUGUUAUCUCUUAAGUCCUAACCAUCAUUUUCCAGCAUAAUUGAACUACUAUUUGCUUUUUACAAUGAAGUUGAUUUUGAUCCCAUAUUUUGGUACUCUAAACCAGGCAAAUCCAUCUUCUUGUUUGUUAGUAUUUCUAGUCAUUAUUGCUCCAUUGUUUGGUUGUUUAUUUCAAAUUUCAAUAUUUUCUUUGCUUUACUUAUUUUGUUGAACCUGUGUUAAUGUGACUUCGCAACCUUGUUUUUUUAACAUAUUUUUUUUAUCGUUGACAAAGGCUGCGUUUAGACUGCUUCAACCUUCUAGGAUUUUAUUCAUGAUUAUGACUUUAUAAUAUUCAGUAAAAAAAGACGGAAGCUUUAAAACAAAAGCUAAAUUCGAGGAGACAAAGAACAAAACUCCAACACCAUUUUUCCUUUUAUUUAUUUAAACCUCUUCCUAUUCGACCAUCAAACUCUCUUCUCUAAGUCCUUUGUUACCACUUUAUAUUCUUUCAUCUCUUCAUUCUUUUAAAAUCAGUGCUUGCUGAUUUUUUUAUUGAUCUUCUACCCCUUGUACCUGGAUCCGACCUGACCUGGAUUGUUCCUUGUGUUCUUUUUCUGCUUUCUCAGCAGGGAGAUCCCAUUCUGGAGACAAAGAAGAACACAAAAGAUCAAAGCUGCUACUGGAUUUUUUGAGCUUCUCUGCUUCUAGCUUUUCAUCUAUGGCCAGAUACUCAGUUGUGACUGAUAAGGUCUCAAUGGAGAUUGUUGAAGAAUUCAUUCUAGUAUAGUUGAAUCUGACAAAAGGCACAAUAUCUGAAAUUAAGCACAUUCAUUUGACAGGAUAAUUUGGAAACCCUGUUGCAAGAGGACAUUCAGGCUGAUCUAGUCUACUGCUUGCAGCAUUUGCAGUUAAGAUUUGAAACCGAAGACAAAGCAAGGAGACUUCUAAGUAAUGUGUCAUUUUUGUUGAAACCAGGGGGUUAUUUUUUCAGUAUUACUCCUGAAAAAGUGAUUGCCAAAAAUUGUUGUUUCUGGAUUUAUGUAUUUUCCUCUUUUUUUUCUCGUGUUUACUACUGCACAUGUUUCUAGGAGGUGGUUGUGUAAACAUUUUAGUGUGCUUUAGUUAUUGUAAGAAUAUUUUUAACAUUUUUAAUUUUAAUAUUAUUGUAAGAAUAUUUUGAAUUAUAAUUCAGUUAUCAAUUAAUAUCAUAUAUCUUUCAUUGAA
Molecule: long non-coding RNA, 2068 nt
Organism: Gossypium raimondii (Peruvian cotton)
Lineage: Eukaryota; Viridiplantae; Streptophyta; Magnoliopsida; Malvales; Malvaceae
Exons: 4
Source: RefSeq, a predicted model, not a curated record